GAUGAGCGCUGGCGGCGUGCCUAAUACAUGCAAGUCGAGCGAACGGACGAGAAGCUUGCUUCUCUGAUGUUAGCGGCGGACGGGUGAGUAACACGUGGAUAACCUACCUAUAAGACUGGGAUAACUUCGGGAAACCGGAGCUAAUACCGGAUAAUAUUUUGAACCGCAUGGUUCAAAAGUGAGAGACGGUCUUGCUGUCACUUAUAGAUGGAUCCGCGCUGCAUUAGCUAGUUGGUAAGGUAACGGCUUACCAAGGCAACGAUGCAUAGCCGACCUGAGAGGGUGAUCGGCCACACUGGAACUGAGACACGGUCCAGACUCCUACGGGAGGCAGCAGUAGGGAAUCUUCCGCAAUGGGCGAAAGCCUGACGGAGCAACGCCGCGUGAGUGAUGAAGGUCUUCGGAUCGUAAAACUCUGUUAUUAGGGAAGAACAUAUGUGUAAGUAACUGUGCACAUCUUGACGGUACCUAAUCAGAAAGCCACGGCUAACUACGUG
This 497-nucleotide ribosomal RNA is filed under the name uncultured bacterium. RNAcentral's name for it is "partial 16S ribosomal RNA". It matches the Rfam family "Bacterial small subunit ribosomal RNA", at positions 28 to 507 of the family's 1533-position model. The record is from RNAcentral.